UACGGAGGGGGCUAGCGUUGUUCGGAAUUACUGGGCGUAAAGCGCGCGUAGGCGGAUCUGCAAGUCGGGGGUGAAAUCCCGAGGCUCAACCUCGGAACUGCCUUCGAUACUGCGGGUCUCGAGUCCGGGAGAGGUGAGUGGAAUUCCUAGUGUAGAGGUGAAAUUCGUAGAUAUUGGGAAGAACACCGGUGGCGAAGGCGGCGACCUGGUCCGAUACUGACGCUGAGGCGCGAAAGCGUGGGGAGCAAACAGG
Molecule: ribosomal RNA, 253 nt
Filed under: uncultured bacterium
Lineage: Bacteria
Description: partial 16S ribosomal RNA
Rfam family: Bacterial small subunit ribosomal RNA
Source: RNAcentral